AGUGAACGCUGGCGGUAGGCCUAACACAUGCAAGUCGAACGGCAGCACAGUAAGAGCUUGCUCUUACGGGUGGCGAGUGGCGGACGGGUGAGGAAUACAUCGGAAUCUACUUUUUCGUGGGGGAUAACGUAGGGAAACUUACGCUAAUACCGCAUACGACCUACGGGUGAAAGCAGGGGAUCUUCGGACCUUGCGCGAUUGAAUGAACCGAUGUCGGAUUAGCUAGUUGGCGGGGUAAAGGCCCACCAAGGCGACGAUCCGUAGCUGGUCUGAGAGGAUGAUCAGCCACACUGGAACUGAGGCACGGUCCAGACUCCUACGGGAGGCAGCAGUGGGGAAUAUUGGACAAUGGGCGCAAGCCUGAUCCAGCCAUACCGCGUGGGUGAAGAAGGCCUUCGGGUUGUAAAGCCCUUUUGUUGGGAAAGAAAAGCAGCAGGUUAAUACCCCGCUGUUCUGACGGUACCCAAAGAAUAAGCACCGGCUAACUUCGUG
RNAcentral lists this ribosomal RNA (492 nucleotides) under uncultured bacterium. Its description in RNAcentral is "partial 16S ribosomal RNA". It matches the Rfam family "Bacterial small subunit ribosomal RNA", at positions 29 to 507 of the family's 1533-position model. The record is from RNAcentral.